Long non-coding RNA from Salvia hispanica, 325 nucleotides. RefSeq lists it as uncharacterized. The record is from RefSeq and is a predicted model, not a curated record. NCBI's taxonomy places the organism in Eukaryota, Viridiplantae, Streptophyta, Magnoliopsida, Lamiales, Lamiaceae.
UAUAGAAACGGUCGGCGGUGGCUCAUGGCGUUUGGAUGGCGGCAGGUAGCGGUGCUUCUCCUUCUUUACUUCUUGGUGGUGUCUUCCACCGCAGUCCCAGUUUCAAGAUGUUAGAGAAAUUGAGAAUGAUGAAGGGGUGAAGGUGAAGUUAUUGGAUAGAAGACAAACCAUUGAACUUAAUGAUUAUCGUGGACCAAGAUAUCCUCCUAAACAUAAUUAAUCACCACUACAUGUUUCUGAUUAUUGAAAAUCAUGAAAAUAAUAAUAUUUCAAGCACACAUGAUGAGACAUCUUGUCUGGUUAAUGGAUUUUGCCUGUUCAUAUC